UGCGUCUCCGUGUGCGCCGUGUGCGGAUAGCUUGCUAUGUGCGUGUGGCUGUGUAUGGANUGAUGCGGACUUUAACUUGUUGCCGUUCGGGACGUUGACGAAAUGGAGCGAUCCGACCCGUCUUGAAACACGGACCAAGGAGUCUAACAUGUGUGCAAGUGUUAGGGUGUCGAAACCCCAGCGCGAAANGAAAGUAAAGGUCAGCGCAAGCUGUCUGAGGUAGGAAACGUUGCGGACUUCGGUCUGCGAUGUGGCACUAUCGACCGAUCAUGAUCCCUCGUGGUGAAAGAUUUGAGUUUGAGCACAUAUGNUGGUACCCGAAAGAUGGUGAACUAUGCCUGAGUAGGGAGAAGCCAGGGGAAACUCUGGUGGAAGCUCGUAGCGAUUCUGACGUGCAAAUCGAUCGUCAAACUGGGGUAUAGGGGAGAAAGACUAAUCGAACCAUCUAGUAGCUGGUUCCCUCCGAAAUUUCCCUCAGGAUAGCAGCAACUUAUUUACGAUAGUUUUAUGAGGUAAAGCGAAUGAUUAGAGGAUUCGG
Molecule: ribosomal RNA, 538 nt
Filed under: Peronosclerospora sp. ST-2011
Lineage: Eukaryota; Oomycota; Peronosporomycetes; Peronosporales; Peronosporaceae
Description: eukaryotic LSU rRNA
Rfam family: Eukaryotic large subunit ribosomal RNA
Source: RNAcentral